This 1942-nucleotide long non-coding RNA is filed under the name Lathyrus oleraceus (garden pea). RNAcentral's name for it is "Pisum sativum (pea) long non-coding RNA (PSAT_LNC041418)". The record is from RNAcentral. Lineage: Eukaryota; Viridiplantae; Streptophyta; Magnoliopsida; Fabales; Fabaceae.
UCUAUUGUUUUGAAAAUUUGAACAUAAUUUAACAUUAAUACAUCAAUUAAAAAAACAAACAUUUGUCUUACUAAUGUCACCUUCAAAAUUAAUAAUAUCUAUUUUUCAUUCUUGUUUUUACAAAUUUUCGAAAAUGUUUUAAUAGUCUUUCAGGAUCAAAGGGUUUGAAGCUGAUUCUCAAGGUGCUAAUGUAAAAAAUCACGUCUACGGUUGACAUUAUUGGAAAAAAGGAGUCGAUUAGUGACCGACGACAUCUUAUCUGAAGAUGAAUUUCUUCUCAAAAUAUUUUGAUCUUCAUAAUGCCGUAGAAUCAAAACAAAGUAUAUUGUUCACUCUUUCGAUCAUUAUAUGAAGUUUGACGUCGUUGUUAAUGACAAAUAUUAUAUGGAAUCAAUAAAAUUCUUGACGAAAUUCUUUUUAUUAUUAAUAAAGUAUAUGUAAUGAUAAAUUUAAAUUUACAUCGAAUUCAAAGAAAUAUUAUAAUGUUAAAUGAUGUUUUGCCAUUGUUGAAUUCUAUUUUAAAGUUAAUUCUUUUAAUUUUUUUAAAGACAUGUGCUAUUUAAUAUUAAAUCACUUUAAUUUAUUGUUAUUUUUAAAUCUUCUUUAAUAUAAUACAUCAACAACAUUAAAAGUAAAUGUUAACAAAAAAUAUAUAUGCUAGUUAUUAUAUAUUUUACAAAUUUUGAGGUUAGAUGAAUAUAAUCAAACAUUAAUAUAUGCUUAGAGAAAUCAAAACUAACUUAGUUAAUUAAGAAUAAAGUAUUCUUACAACAACUUUAAUAAUUUAAAUUAAUUUUUCUUAUUUUAUAAUAAUAUAUACUAUAAAUUACAAGCCUUUUUCGAGAUAUAUUCAUUAAUGUCUUUUGUUUUGAAAAUUUGAACAUAUUUAGCAUUAAUACAUCAAUUAAAAAAUAAACUUUUGUCUUACUAUUGUCAUUUACAAAAUUAAUAAUUAUUUAUUUUUUAAUUUUGUUUUUACACAUUUUCGGAAAGAAUUCAAUAUGCUUUCAAGAUGAAAGGGUUUGAAGCUGAUUCUCAAGGUGCUAAUGUAAAAAAUUAUGUCUGUGCUUGACAUUAUUGGAAAAGGAGUCGGUUAGUGGCAGACGACUCCUGCUUUAAGAAGAUAUUUCUGUCUAAAAUAUGAUCUUCAUAAUGCCCGUAGAAUCAAAACAAAAUGUAUUAUCCACACUUUCAAGCAUUAUAUGAAGUUUGAUGCCGUCGGUAAUAACAAAACUUUUGUGGAAUCAAGUAAAAUUCUUGACAAAUAUCCUUUUAUAUAUUAAUAAAGUAUAUGUGAUGAUAAAUUUUAAUUUACAUCGAAUUUAAAGAAAUAUUAUAUAAUUUUAAAUGAUGUUUGCCAUUGUUGAAGUCUAUUAUAAAGUAUAAUUUCUUUCAAAAAAUUUAAAGACAUGUGAUUUAAUAUGAGUCACCUUAAUUAUUUGACCUUUUUAAAUCUUCCUUUCAUAUAAUACAACGAACGAAACUAAAGUAAAUGUUAGCAUAAAAUAAUACUUUAACUAUUAUAUAUUUGGCAAUUGCAAAUCUGGAAGUUAAUUGAAUAUAAUCAAACAUUAAUAUAUGCUUAGAGUAAUCAGAACAACAUAUUCUUACAACAACUUUAAUAAUACAUACUAAUUUUUCUUAUUAUAUAAUAAUAUAUAGUGGAUAUUACAAUCCCUUUUCGAGAUAUAUUCAUUAACGUCUAUGUUUUUGAAAAUUUGAACAUAAUUUAACAUUAAUACAUAAUUAAAAAAACAAACAUUUGUCUUACUAAUGUCACCUUCAAAAUUAAUAAUUAUCUAUUUUUCAUUCUUUUUUUUACAAAUUUUCGAAAAUGUUUUAAUAGUCUUUCAGGAUCAAAGGGUUUGAGCUGAUUCUCAGGUGCUAAUGUAAAAAAUCACGUCUACGGUUGACAUUAUUGGAAAAAAGGAGUCGAUUAGUG